This 22-nucleotide small nuclear RNA is filed under the name Arabidopsis thaliana (thale cress). RNAcentral's name for it is "snRNA_10471". The record is from RNAcentral. Lineage: Eukaryota; Viridiplantae; Streptophyta; Magnoliopsida; Brassicales; Brassicaceae.
AAUAUUUACAUUCUAAUUCAGA